CUAAGAGAAUGGAAGUCCAGAAAAAAACUUUUUUUAAAUUAAAAAUUGAAGUUUUUUUAAUUUGUGCAGAAACAAUUAUUUAUAUUAAAGACAAGAAGACCCUAUGAAUUUAUUAAAUUUUUAUUUAAUAUGUAAUUACUAUUAGAAGAAUUUUGGCUGGGGCGGCUAGAAAAUAUUAUAAACUUUUUAAAAAUAAAAUGAUCCAUUAUUAAUGAUUUUAUGUUAAAUACUCUAGGGAUAACAGCGUUAUAUUUUUUGAUAGAUCAUAUUGACAAAAAAGUUUGCGACCUCGAUGUUGGAUUAGGAUACUUUUUUAAUGAAGAUAUUAAAAAAAGAAGUUUGUUCAACUUUUAAUUUCCUACAUGAUCUGA
RNAcentral lists this ribosomal RNA (371 nucleotides) under Rhipicephalus linnaei. RNAcentral describes it as "partial large subunit ribosomal RNA". The stretch from base 237 to 371 matches the Rfam family "Archaeal large subunit ribosomal RNA", at positions 2542 to 2677 of the family's 2987-position model. Lineage: Eukaryota; Metazoa; Arthropoda; Arachnida; Ixodida; Ixodidae. The record is from RNAcentral.